GAUGAACGCUGGCGGCGUGCCUAAUACAUGCAAGUCGAGCGAACGGACGAGAAGCUUGCUUUUCUGAUGUUAGCGGCGGACGGGUGAGUAACACGUGGAUAACCUACCUAUAAGACUGGGAUAACUUCGGGAAACCGGAGCUAAUACCGGAUAAUAUUUUGAACCGCAUGGUUCAAAAGUGAAAGACGGUCUUGCUGUCACUUAUAGAUGGAUCCGCGCUGCAUUAGCUAGUUGGUAAGGUAACGGCUUACCAAGGCAACGAUGCAUAGCCGACCUGAGAGGGUGAUCGGCCACACUGGAACUGAGACACGGUCCAGACUCCUACGGGAGGCAGCAGUAGGGAAUCUUCCGCAUUGGGCGAAAGCCUGACGGAGCAACGCCGCGUGAGUGAUGAAGGUCUUCGGAUCGUAAAACUCUGUUAUUAGGGAAGAACAUAUGUGUAAGUAGCUGUGCACAUCUUGACGGUACCUAAUCAGAAAGCCACGGCUAACUACGUG
RNAcentral lists this ribosomal RNA (497 nucleotides) under uncultured bacterium. RNAcentral's name for it is "partial 16S ribosomal RNA". It matches the Rfam family "Bacterial small subunit ribosomal RNA", at positions 28 to 507 of the family's 1533-position model. The record is from RNAcentral.